UAAGGAAUAUUGGUUAAUGGACGCAAGUCUGAACCAGCCAUGCCGCGUGGAGGAUGAAGGUCCUCUGGAUUGUAAACUUCUUUUAUCUGGGACGAAACACUUCUUUUCUAAGAGGCCUGACGGUACCAGAUGAAUAAGCACCGGCUAACUCCGUGCCAGCAGCCGCGGUAAUACGGAGGGUGCAAGCGUUAUCCGGAUUCACUGGGUUUAAAGGGUGCGUAGGUGGGUAUGUAAGUCAGUGGUGAAAUCCCCGAGCUUAACUUGGGAACUGCCAUUGAUACUAUAUAUCUUGAAUACCGUAGAGGUAAGCGGAAUAUGUCAUGUAGCGGUGAAAUGCUUAGAUAUGACAUGGAACACCAAUUGCGAAGGCAGCUUACUAUGCGGUGAUUGACACUGAGGCACGAAAGCGUGGGUAGCAAACA
Molecule: ribosomal RNA, 422 nt
Filed under: uncultured bacterium
Lineage: Bacteria
Description: bacterial SSU rRNA
Rfam family: Bacterial small subunit ribosomal RNA
Source: RNAcentral